Molecule: ribosomal RNA, 468 nt
Filed under: uncultured bacterium
Lineage: Bacteria
Description: partial 16S ribosomal RNA
Rfam family: Bacterial small subunit ribosomal RNA
Source: RNAcentral
GACGAACGCUGGCGGCGUGCUUAACACAUGCCAGUCGAACGGAAAGGCCCUGCUUUUGUGGGGUGCUCGAGUGGCGAACGGGUGAGUAACACGUGAGUAACCUGCCCUUGACUUUGGGAUAACUUCAGGAAACUGGGGCUAAUACCGGAUAGGAGCUCCUGCUGCAUGGUGGGGGUUGGAAAGUUUCGGCGGUUGGGGAUGGACUCGCGGCUUAUCAGCUUGUUGGUGGGGUAGUGGCUUACCAAGGCUUUGACGGGUAGCCGGCCUGAGAGGGUGACCGGGCACCUUGGGACUACGAUACGGCCCAGACGCCUACGGGAGGCAGCAGUGGGGAAUAUUGCACAAUGGGCGGAAGCCUGAUGCAGCAACGCCGCGUGCGGGAUGACGGCUUUCGGGUUGUAAACCGCUUUCGCCGGUGACGAAGAGUGAGUGACGGUAAUGGGUAAAGAAGCACCGGCUAACUACGUG